AAACCAACAGGGAUUGCCCUAGUAACGGCGAGUGAAGCGGCAACAGCUCAAAUUUGAAAUCUGGCGCAAGCCCGAGUUGUAAUUUGUAGAGGAUGCUUCUAGGCAGCGGCCGGUCUAAGUCUCUUGGAACAGGGCGUCACAGAGGGUGAGAAUCCCGUAUGUGACCGGCUGGCACCUUAUACGUAGCUCCUUCGACGAGUCGAGUUGUUUGGGAAUGCAGCUCUAAAUGGGAGGUAAAUUUCUUCUAAAGCUAAAUACCGGCCAGAGACCGAUAGCGCACAAGUAGAGUGAUCGAAAGAUGAAAAGCACUUUGGAAAGAGAGUUAAAAAGCACGUGAAAUUGUUGAAAGGGAAGCGCUUGCAACCAGACUUGUUGGCGGUGUUCCGCCGGUCUUCUGACCGGUCUACUCGCCGCCCGCAGGCCAGCGUCGUCUGGGGCCGCCGGAGAAAGGCGUUGGGAAUGUAGCUCCCUCGGGAGUGUUAUAGCCCAUCGCACAAUACGGCGCGCGCCGGGCGAGGUCCGCGCUUCGGCAAGGACGCUGGCGUAAUGGUCGUAAGCGGC
This 561-nucleotide ribosomal RNA is filed under the name Devriesia sp. OTU54 TS-2013. Its description in RNAcentral is "eukaryotic LSU rRNA". It matches the Rfam family "Eukaryotic large subunit ribosomal RNA", at positions 62 to 648 of the family's 3401-position model. The record is from RNAcentral. Lineage: Eukaryota; Fungi; Ascomycota; Dothideomycetes; Mycosphaerellales; Teratosphaeriaceae.